Molecule: non-coding RNA, 478 nt
Organism: Nothobranchius furzeri (turquoise killifish)
Lineage: Eukaryota; Metazoa; Chordata; Actinopteri; Cyprinodontiformes; Nothobranchiidae
Source: the annotation of a RefSeq genome assembly
CAUCUAAUCACGACGUUUGCUGAUUCUGUAGUUGAUUCAGAAACACGGUGGUAAAUGUGCUGCACGUGCAUGAAGGGAGACAACUAAAUAUUAUUCUGUUUUCUAGCUUUCUGACUAAAUAUCAGGAGAUCCCAUGAUGCUCAUCUUCUUCUUCAGCAUUACUUUUACCACCAUGCUGGUUUCAGACUCUUCUCCCAACGACCAAGUGCAUCAGUCUCCACCAGAAAUGUUCAACACAUUAAACAGUGAAGCCGAAAUUCAGUGUUUUCACAACAGUAGCUACAACACAAUCCUCUGGUACAAACAGUCAAACAGAGACAUGCAGCUCCUGGGAUACAUGUAUGUAAGCUCUAUAAAUCUAGAGACAGGAGUGAAUGUGAACAUUGGAGGGAGCACAAAUAAAGGAGAAAAGUGCACGUUGUUAAUCAAAGAACUCAGCCUGAACAGCAGUGGAGUUUACUUCUGUGCUGCUAGUUAA